Molecule: transfer RNA, 72 nt
Filed under: Candidatus Kaiserbacteria bacterium
Lineage: Bacteria; Candidatus Kaiseribacteriota
Also listed under: 2 other names
Description: tRNA-Arg
Rfam family: tRNA
About the family: Transfer RNA (tRNA) molecules are approximately 80 nucleotides in length. Their secondary structure includes four short double-helical elements and three loops (D, anti-codon, and T loops).
Source: RNAcentral
GCUCCCGUAGUUUAAUGGAUAAAAUAUUGGUUUGCGGUACCAGUGCUCUAGGUUCGAUUCCUAGCGGGAGCA